RNAcentral lists this ribosomal RNA (484 nucleotides) under uncultured bacterium. RNAcentral describes it as "partial 16S ribosomal RNA". It matches the Rfam family "Bacterial small subunit ribosomal RNA", at positions 29 to 507 of the family's 1533-position model. The record is from RNAcentral.
AUUGAACGCUGGCGGCAUGCUUUACACAUGCAAGUCGAACGGCAGCGCGGGCUUCGGCCUGGCGGCGAGUGGCGAACGGGUGAGUAAUACAUCGGAACGUGCCCAGUAGUGGGGGAUAGCUCGGCGAAAGCCGGAUUAAUACCGCAUACGACCUGAGGGUGAAAGCGGGGGAUCUUCGGACCUCGCGCUAUUGGAGCGGCCGAUGGCAGAUUAGCUAGUUGGUGGGGUAAAGGCCUACCAAGGCGACGAUCUGUAGCUGGUCUGAGAGGACGACCAGCCACACUGGGACUGAGACACGGCCCAGACUCCUACGGGAGGCAGCAGUGGGGAAUUUUGGACAAUCGGCGAAAGCCUGAUCCAGCAAUGCCGCGUGUGUGAUGAAGGCCUUCGGGUUGUAAAGCACUUUUGGCGGGAACGAAAAGGACUGUGCCAAUACCACGGUUCGAUGACGGUACCCGCAGAAUAAGCACCGGCUAACUACGUG